GUUCUUUUCUUCUUUCUUCUUCUUCUCAGUUCUUUCUCUUUCUCUUGUUCUUCUUCUUCUGCGUGCGAUUGAGAGAUUAAAAGGAAGCUUUGUGAUCGAUAGGAGGUGGAGAAGAUCAUGGAAUAUUUGAUAGUGAUGGUUCGUUGUUUGUUGUUGGUUCAGACUCGAAGGAAGAUUUGAAUUAGAGGUUAGGGUUUAUACGAAAAGCUUAGAGAUGAAUUAAGAGAUGGAGUUAGUGUUUUAGGAGAAGGAAUUGAGAUGGGUUUAUGUUUAAUUGAAUGAUAUGAAGUUGUUUGAGGAUUGAAUCAGCGAGUCAGGGUUUCUGUUUAGGAGCUGACGAAGGUUUGAUUUGAGGAUGUUAUUGAGUAAUUGCUGAUGGGUUUUAUGUUAAUUGAAUCAUAAAAAAGAAUCAGUAGUCAAAUUACUAUUUUAGUGAAGAUUUGAGAGAAAUUAGGGUUUUCUUGAGGAGGUUGGAUAGAGAUGGAACAUGGAUAGACUAGUAUUGAAUGAAUCUGAAUCAGAUGGGGGUUGAGCAUCUAUGAAGUAUUACGGUUUGGGUUCAAGUUGAGGAUGAACUUGGUGACAAAGAUGUAAUAGUGAAUUGAGGUUUGUUCUGGUUCGCAGGGAGUUGUGAUGAAUUUGGUGGAUGGGUGUAUCUGAAUAAGAAUUGAGGUAAUUGUUUUCCCUGAAUUGAUUUGGUAAAGUCUUCCACUUUCCUUGAUCAUUUGUUUGUGAUUAUUAAUUGAAUUGUGUUUGCGAGAUGAGUAUGGAAUGAAGCUCUGGUCAUGGUGUAGAUGUGUGUUGAAUUACAGGGAACUGGUUUUGCAAUGGUUUGUGGAAUUUAUGGAGAUAGAGGUGGAGUAUAGAUUGUAAGAAAGAUAAUGGUGGUGGUGGUUUUAUAAGUUAUAGAGAUAAUGGAAGUGGUAGUAAUAUUGUUGGUGAUAAAAGAAUUGGAGUUGGAACUGUAAUUUGAAGUGCUGAUGUAAACUAAAAUCCAGUGAAUUGAAUGGCUGGUUUAACUGAAGCAAGGAGCAUUGAGUGUAUGUGAUGGUUUUAGUGGAAGCUUGCUGUUGCAGGUAAGCUAAUCUAUCAUUUGUAAAUGAGCUAUGAAGUUUGAUUUAAGAAAGUGUAGUGUUGGGAAUUUUAGAUGUUGAUUGUUUUUACUGUAUUGUUAUUGAUAUUGUGGUUGUUUAGAAUAAGUGUUGAAUGAAGUCUGUAAUAGAGUUUUUGGCCUAUGCAAAGGCUUUGGCCUGGAACUUUUCUGUUCAGUC
This is a long non-coding RNA of Papaver somniferum (opium poppy), 1271 nucleotides long. RefSeq lists it as uncharacterized. The record is from RefSeq and is a predicted model, not a curated record. The transcript is spliced from 2 exons. Lineage: Eukaryota; Viridiplantae; Streptophyta; Magnoliopsida; Ranunculales; Papaveraceae.